This 5770-nucleotide long non-coding RNA is filed under the name Panax ginseng (ginseng). RNAcentral describes it as "long non-coding RNA (PGIN_LNC010835)". The record is from RNAcentral. Lineage: Eukaryota; Viridiplantae; Streptophyta; Magnoliopsida; Apiales; Araliaceae.
GAUGAUUGCGUGGUCUAAUUGUCUUAAUGAGAUACAUGCGAAGCGGUCGUCGUCCCUGCUGGUGCUAAUUGAUCAAUCGGCUGUCGGCUGACAAUCAUUUUGGAAUUGAUUUCAGCCCGUACGAGUUCCUUCAACUCCAGCAGCUAGACAGUUCAAUCCAUCACCCAAAAUGUAAGUAAACAUCACAUCACAUCACUUGUAUUAAUUUACCACCCCGAUCAUGCUAUUAAUUAUUUUAUUUUAUUACUAGUUGUAGUAUAAUUUUCUUUGUCUGGGUGGAUUUGGUGUUAGUGUUCGAUCCCAAUUGCAAUAUACAUACCUAACAUAUCUUCUCUUAAGUGAGACUAAAUAGCUCUUUUUGAUUAAUUGUAUGGUAAGCAAGUAUACUAGUAUAUUCUUUUAAUUGGGUGUUAAUAAUUAAUAUAUUCGGAGUUGAGGCACGCACGCACCGUUUGAUCUUCCUGGAAUGGGAGUGCCCAGUUACUGGGUAUGGAUGGACAGGAAAGCUAGUGGUGUUACGAGGUACAGGGAGAAGAGAAAGAAUAGCAGGUUCCAAAAGGCCUCUAGAAAGGCCUUUGCAAAGUGAACGGAGAAUACUCAUCACCCGGAUGUAGAUGUGUGCUUCACAUCUCCUGCCACCAGGAGGGGCGGACCUAACCGGAGGGAAAUAAAAUACUAUAAUUCUACGAGUUUUUCGUACACUAGUAGUGACUAUUGGAGUACUUAAUUAACUUCAAGACCAUACACUUUUUACGAGUUAUGCUACUGGUGUUUCUGCGGUACCCCUCGUCCAGCCGGGCCAAUUAAUUAAUUAAUUAGCAUUUUAAUAAGGGCUUUGUUGUAACUGUGUCGUUAAAAUUUAUUUCCCUUCAACGAUACCACUAUUGAGUCCAUCUGAUCUCACAAAGAAAAAUGUCACUACUCUGAUUCUAGUUUUAUGCCUUUUCUGUUUUGGAUUGCUCCUCCCUCCUGACGGUUAAUUUAGCUCAUAUAUAGUUUCUUUUCAACUCUUUCACGAUAAUUCUUAAUAAUAAUAAUAAGGUUCUUAAUAUCCUUUUUCUUUCUUUGUUUUGGUUAGACUAGGUACAAAAUAUUAGAGAUAAGUUGGCAUAAUAAUGAAAAUAAAAAGAAGAUAAUGGGAAAUAAAAUGCAACAUAUAAUAUAUCCACUCUUUAUCUAGUACUCUAGACUCUAAAUGUCCUCCAAAACUAUAUCUGAUGUAAAAUCAUAUCUGAAAACAAAAGAGGAAUCUUCCAUCUCCUCUGCUGUAAACUUGGGUAGUCUCCAGCUCUGUGCAGCUUCAGAGUCAUGACCAUAUGUUAAUAUCUCUAACACCUACACCCAAAAACAUAUUUAAGUUUUCAUACUAAAAUUCAAACAUGUCAAUAUAACUUCUAAAAUUUAUACAGGCACUCCAAAAAUUAUACUCCACUUUGACAGUAUUAUGAGAAAUGGAAUUUUGGAAUUUCAAUAGCAUUAACCUAAAGGUAAAAUGAUACAGACUAACAUAGUUUUUGGGUAGUUAAAAAUUGUACCUCAGCCAUCGAGGGGCGCCAUAUUGAGGAUUGUCUCACACAAUAGGAAGCUGUGAGAACUAAUCUAUUCAUUUGAUCCAUGUCAUAUUUACGUUCCAAGUUUGAAUCAGCUAGUUCGGCAAUGUUUCCCGAUUCCAUUAAAGGCUUCGCCUAUAUAUGAAACACAUUAAUCUGUCAAUAGGAUAAUACAGAAGACUGCUAUUUUCUUGUUUAAAGGCAUCUUAAGUUCUUAACCAAUGGAGUGGAGCAUAAGAGCUUUGUACUUAAUUACCCAGAGGAGAAGAUUUUGUUGUGAUGAAUCAACAGGUCUUCUGCCUGUUAUGAUCUCCAAAAGAAGAAUUCCAAAUGCAAAAACAUCGGUUUUCUCAUCAACUAUACCAUGCAUGAAGUACUCUGGUGCUAAGUAUCCAAAUGUACCCUCAAUCGGAAUCACUGCAUGGUGAGUCCAUUUGCUUGGCAGCCAUUUUGCGAGCCCAAAAUCUGAAAUCUGCACAAAUAAAAAAAAUUCCGAAUGAACUGAAAUACAUCAAGAACUCAUAUGUGACCCAGAAAUAAAAGAAAUCAUUUGCUGCUUCACCUGUGGUUCGUAUUCUGGACCUAGAAGAACAUUUGAGGCUUUAAUGUCACGGUGUAUGAUUCUGUGUUUACAACACUUGUGAAGGUAAUGCAGACCUCUUGCAAUCCCAAGGGCAAUUUUAUAUCUGACUGGCCAUUUGAGUGAUUCCCCUGUCUUACCUGCUAUAAUACAAGCAUUAUUUUUCCAAGUUCUUAUGUUUUGGUUGAUAACUAGAUAUGGUCAGCUAGAUAAUUCAGAAUUUACAUAAGCUUCUGUUUUAUUUUGCUCCUCCUAUUCAUUUAUCAUAUGUUCAACUUAUCCAUGAAUCUUGACUGUAUUCUUUUAUAUCCUCUUUUUAAAAAUGAAACUCAGAAUCAUUGAACGAUGCAGAAUAUGAUAAUCUUACCAUGCAAUGCAGAUGACAGAGUUCCAUUAGGAUAGAAAUUGAAGAUGAGAUAUAGACCAUUUUCGAUGCAGCAACCAACUAAGCUUGCUGUAUUAGGAUGAUUAACAUGUCCUAUUAUCCCCAACUCCAUAAGGAACUCUUUCUCCUUGUUUUCAUCAGUGUUGUCCUUGGCUAAUCUCUUCACUGCUAUGGUAUUUCCAUCACAAAGAUCACCUCUAUAUACCUCUGAGUACCCUCCUACACCUACAAUAUACUCUGCAUCCAAAAUAACCAUGCGCCCUUUUAAAUUAUGAUUCACAUUUUGUCUAAAUAAGUUACUAAGAGGACAUUAGUUUUAUCAUGAUUAAUAUACCAGGGUUGAAAUUAUUUGUAGCAUUUGCAAUUUCUUCGUAGCUAAAGCACCUCAACAAAGGUUGUUGCUUCUCUUUUGUCGGAAAAGCUUCAUUCCUCUUUCUUUCGCUUACAGUAAAUGGGGAUCUUAAGAAAGAGGCGAUACGCUUUAAUGGUGACAUUUUCUUCCUGUAAUGAGACUGCCCAUUUGAUGAAAGAGGCAGGGGAGGAGACCCUGUGGUGCUUGAUUCCCCAAUACUAGAGCUGUCUUCUUCUGUGCUUAGUGAUUCACCUUCACAUGAAUCUAGCACUGUUUUUGGUGAAGACUCUACUCUCUUUUCUUCCAAGGUAGAGUUACUAAUAUGAGUGCUCUUUUCGGACCACCUUGAACUUAAUUUUUGAAAUUCUAGCACACGAAAUAUUUGUUAAUAAGAAGACACCAAAGAAAAUAAAAAUCUGAUUGUUUUCAUGAAAUAUUUGAUUGAAACUAACCUUCCUUAUGCAUGAAGUCGGAGUGAAAAUUUUGUUGUGGCUGCUCACGUCUCCCAACAAGGACUAAUGAACAGCCUUUAGGAGCAUUAUCAAAACAGUAUCUUGUAGUUUCUUGUGGAGCUCUAAUCACCAGAAAGGCAUUGAAAUGUGAAUUAGGAAAGGGCUGAAUUAAGGGAAAUACUCUGUUUUGCAUGGAACAAUUUCUCACCUAUUUGACCGGUUCCUGGAGCUGCCAAUCAGAAGAAACUCUGAUGAGAUGCCUUGUGCUUCCUCGAUCAGACCUCUUCCAAUGCUAGAACUAAAGCCCACUUUAGCCUCCAAAUUUACCUGAAAAAUGUGAGGUGUUACAAACAAUUUAGACUUCAUAGUUCUUACAUUAAUUUACAUGUAAAUGGUAAAGCUUAUCUAAUUUAACAACACCAUAGAAUGUUCAAAAAUACCUGCUUAGACUGGCAGGUCUUGGCAAAUUCUCCCAUUACAGAUAUAACAAAGGCUUUUGCUCUACGUGUUUGUGUUUGAUAUGUUUCAAAUGUCUUCCACUUCUUAAUCUCCUGUUUUCUUUGAUAAUCGCGCUUCUUCAGUGCUUCUGCCACUGUUUUAUGUACAAGCAUGAAAUAAAAGGUAGUGGUAAAUUAUAUGAACGAACUACAUGGUGGUGAAAAAACAAAAUGUUAAGUAGUCAACGCAUACUAACCAAGAACGUGUAGAGCAAUGACUGUGUCAUUUGGAUGGGCUAAAUUUUUAAUCGCCCACGAGAGGAGCUCUGUGCUAUCUUCCGCAUCUAAUGAGAUGCCUAGGAGUAUUUUAGCUGGAGCUGAAGGGGUCAUUCUUUUUGAUUUUGAGCUUUGAAUGUUGUAGUUGUUGUUUCUUUUUCCACAAUGUCAAAGAGAGACCGAGCUUAAGGAUAGAUAUAUGUAUAGGAGCAAAAGAUAUGAUAAUUAAUCUAGUAUUGUGGGCAAGGCCACUUGGCUUUCAUUAAAAAAGUCUUGAUUGAGAAGCAUAAAAAGCAAUUACGGUGGCAAGUAGAGAAGUGACUAGAGAUUACUAUAUAUUCUGUCUUUAGUACUUUUGGAAUACAAUUUAAGUGUUGUGGUUGGGUGAUUUGGGGAAUAAGCAAAGGAGGUGGCAUCAUCAUGCGAUGAUGAUUUAUGUCUUGUUAUGUAAGGCAAAUUAAUUGAAGCCUCCAUACUCCAAAGUGCUAGCUUCUUUGUUGAGUUUGGUAGGAGGGGGAGAGGGCUAUAACUCUUUGCCACACUCUUGGAUACUCCUUCACUUUAUCAUCAACGAAACGUUGAAUGGACACUAACCCUCCCCUCCCAAAAAUCUCUCUCUUAAAAAACUAAAAGCUUGGGAGUUGGGACAUGCUUUGUCUUAAAAUCUAAAUAUUCGAUAGCAAUGUAAUUAAUUGAAUUGAAUCACCUCACAUGCAUGUGCACAAAAUAUAGUUAGAUGAAGUGAGCUGUAAAAUAUUUUAUUUUGGUGUACUCGCUUUUUUUCUUCGCAUAAUGUUGUGUUUGAAUUGCAGAAAGUAAAGGGGGAAUGAAAAAAAAUGUGUUCUACCAAUUUGAUGGUAUUCAUUCCUAAUAAGGAAUAGGGAUGUGGAAUGACACAUUCCAAUUUCCAAUCAUCAAGAGAAGUACAUAACAUAUGGUUGUAGAGAGUGAAUUAUUCCAUGUGAACGACUUUCUAUGUAGAUGUUGGAACAUAAUUUAGAGGACAAAAAUUAUUCAGUAAUACAAUCGAAACCUAAAUAUGGUAUUUUAGAAAUAUACACAAAAAAUAUGUUUACUAAAUCUUUUAUUUUUCGAGUUCAUUUAAUCAGGACAAGCAAAGCAAGGGUGCUUCAAUCCAACAAUUCCGCUAGUCCAUUCGUUCUAAAGAGAGUUUUUAAGCGUUGAAGUUGAUCUUCUAUGAGAGAGAGUACACAGCAUAGCAAGGAUUAUGACGAACGAGAAUAAUCUAGUUAACAGAAUAACUAUGGAUGUAAUGUAAAAUUUUCAAUAUUCAGAUGAUAUGUAAUGUGGGCAUAUAUACUUAACAAGAACAUAUGUUAAUAACUCAAGUCACACUUCCAUCUCAAACAAGAAUACAUUAAACUAGCAAUGCCUUGAAUAGAUUAAUUAAUUCCAUGUUUGUCUCACACACCCUUUUCUAAUUGACUGUAUCAGUUUUAAGUAAUGUGCAUAUGUAUGUAUAGCUUAUUAACACCACAAUUUCAAAAGAAAAAUAAAACAUGAAAACAUCUGAUCACUUCAAUCCGUAAUAUAACUAACUAUACCAUUGCACCAUGAUUUCAGAAACUUUUUCAACCUAUAAAUUUUGCCCCUCCAUUCUCCAUUAAUAUAUGCGCCUAUAAGGAUCUUCCAUCCUCUGCACAUCCAUGGCCCCAAACACACCAUAUGCACUACUUUCAUCAUGAUAAACUCCACCACCACCACCCUCCUCCUCCUC